CUAUCUGCAGUCGAGCGGAAGAAGGGAGCUUGCUCCCGGAUGUUAGCGGCGGACGGGUGAGUAACACGUGGGUAACCUGCCUGUAAGACUGGGAUAACUCCGGGAAACCGGAGCUAAUACCGGAUAGUUCCUUGAACCGCAUGGUUCAAGGAUGAAAGACGGUUUCGGCUGUCACUUACAGAUGGACCCGCGGCGCAUUAGCUAGUUGGUGGGGUAAUGGCUCACCAAGGCGACGAUGCGUAGCCGACCUGAGAGGGUGAUCGGCCACACUGGGACUGAGACACGGCCCAGACUCCUACGGGAGGCAGCAGUAGGGAAUCUUCCGCAAUGGACGAAAGUCUGACGGAGCAACGCCGCGUGAGUGAUGAAGGUUUUCGGAUCGUAAAGCUCUGUUGUUAGGGAAGAACAAGUGCGAGAGUAACUGCUCGCACCUUGACGGUACCUAACCAGAAAGCCACGGCUAACUACGUGCCAGCAGCCGCGGUAAUACGUAGGUGGCAAGCGUUGUCCGGAAUUAUUGGGCGUAAAGGGCUCGCAGGCGGUUUCUUAAGUCUGAUGUGAAAGCCCCCGGCUCAACCGGGGAGGGUCAUUGGAAACUGGGAAACUUGAGUGCAGAAGAGGAGAGUGGAAUUCCACGUGUAGCGGUGAAAUGCGUAGAGAUGUGGAGGAACACCAGUGGCGAAGGCGACUCUCUGGUCUGUAACUGACGCUGAGGAGCGAAAGCGUGGGGAGCGAACAGGAUUAGAUACCCUGGUAGUCCACGCCGUAAACGAUGAGUGCUAAGUGUUAGGGGGUUUCCGCCCCUUAGUGCUGCAGCUAACGCAUUAAGCACUCCGCCUGGGGAGUACGGU
Molecule: ribosomal RNA, 851 nt
Filed under: uncultured bacterium
Lineage: Bacteria
Description: bacterial SSU rRNA
Rfam family: Bacterial small subunit ribosomal RNA
Source: RNAcentral